AGAGUACUCCCUCUGUUCAGAAUUACUUGUCGCAGAAAUGAAUGUAUCUAGACGUAUUUUAGUUCUAGAUACAUCCAUUUACAAGAUAAGUAAUUCUGAACGGAGGGAGUAGAUA
Triticum aestivum (bread wheat) is the source of this 115-nucleotide non-coding RNA. The record is from Rfam. Lineage: Eukaryota; Viridiplantae; Streptophyta; Magnoliopsida; Poales; Poaceae.